UGUAGGCCACAGUCUGCCUUUUGAGGACCCCAUAUUAGUCUGAAUAAAUUAUUCAAGACUUAGAACAGUGUCUCAUAAAAGAGGAACACAAUACGACAGUGGCACAUCUUAAAUAUGUAGACCUUGACCUGGUUUUAACUAGAGAUAACCUUGAGGACAUGUAAUCUUUUUGUUCUUCGUGUCCUAAACCUGGAGAUCUGACUUAUCCAUUUGUACUAAGGUAUUUAACCAUGUAACAGGUGGGAAUGUGGUCAAGGGGUCGAAAGGGAGAGAUGAUAGUGUUGGCUUCCACCAAUAAGGACACUAUACUAGCGGGUUCCUGGGCCAAGUAUGGAGACUCAUCGGCUGAUGUCAACCUCAUAGGACACUUCCCAAAGAAGGAAAUUGAGAAGGCUCUCCUACUUCAUGCUAAGGAUAAGCUGAAUCUCCAAAUUCUGCAGGAUAUUGUACCUUCCACAGCCAAGGAAGAUGAGGCAAAGUCACUGACAGAAGAUGAGGAGUCAAUUGUAAUGACAAACUUACAAACAACCGAGUACUGUGGUCCUUACUCAAUGUUUGGCAGACUGAUUUACCUCUGGAGGAACAGGUGCUCCCCAAAGGAGGUGGGAGAAAAAGUGAAGUCAUUUUUCCAGCAAUACAGCUUCCAGAGACCCAGGAGGACAGUGGUGACGACGUCCUACUACAUCUCGGGGAACUGGCCCACUGUAUAGUCGCCUACCUUUGUUGUACCCCUUGACCUGGUCCUAGCAAUUCGCAGCCAUCGACAAGGCGGUGCAGGAAUAUGAACAGAUGGGGACAAAGAACCAAAAUUAAUCAACACCUACCGUACAUGGAAUAAUCUCCCAGCAGAAGCUCGUAACACUUUAGGAAUCACACCGUGUUCUAUCAAUCUGAGAUAUGGCAGAUUAAGAUGGUUGUGCCUAACAAAGAAAAGACCGAUAAUACAGACAGUGAGUGUGAUGAACCAGUAGGCCAAGUGAGGAAGACACUGCAGCCAGAGAAAAAUUCAUAAGUUCGUGGAUCAGUGAUUAGCGAUUACUAUUCCCAGGAAGAAGUUAGGAGUGAGUUUCAAUACAAAGACAAUUAAAUCAAGGGAAACCAACCAGAUGAAGCAUGUAACUCUUCAGAAGCUAUUAAGAAGAGCUACUACACACUCUUCUCAGACAAUACUCCAAAUCUAACUACAUCACCUGCAAAUAAUGUUAAGCCAAAGCUGCGUGAAAUUCUCUAUGCACACCAUCACCAACUCCUAUAAUGGGUGAAUUGAUAGAUCCAUCUCAGUUACCUCAACCUCAGCUGUGUCCAAUACCAAUCCUACCACUUCAUCUUUGUAGUUACCAUCCUCUACCUUGGGUAACUAAUCACAGUUUUUUUUACUCUUUUUUCAUUAAAAAAAUCCCUAAAAGCUUUAAGUAAGUCUCAACAUUUAACAGAAUUUUUGACAUUUUCUUAUUUUUUCAGGCAGUUCUUCGUCAAAAAAUUCUCAAAAGCUUCAUUCAAAAUAUAUCUUGACAAUUAAUAUAAUUUAAUUGUUUACUUACAUUUAUAUGCUUCAUUCAUUCAUUUGUACAACUGUUUUGGUUGUGUAACUGUAAACAUUAGCUGUGUGUGUGAGUGUUGUCUUGGUGUGGACUGGGGGUGUGUGUGGUGUGGUGGUACGUUAAGGCCGUCAUAUUGGUAACAUGCACAUACCCCAUACUUGUACCUAUAAUAAAACUUAUUACCAAAAUA
Molecule: unclassified non-coding RNA, 1731 nt
Filed under: Homarus americanus (American lobster)
Lineage: Eukaryota; Metazoa; Arthropoda; Malacostraca; Decapoda; Nephropidae
Description: putative glutamine-dependent NAD(+) synthetase, transcript variant X1
Source: RNAcentral